GGAGCUUUAACAUCACAUGCAAGAAAUGUGACAAAAUAUAAUAUGGAAGUUAAAGAGAUGUAGUUUAGAUGUGCUCCUCCAAACUUCCAUACCCAUAGAUGAAGAGGCUAUCACAUAACCUGAAGUAAAUCAUAAAAGCUUCAUGCAAUAUAAAAGUGGAAUUGGAGACAUUGAAACUGAAGAUAAAUUUGAUUUGAUUUUUCGAUUCGAAAAAAACAAAAAUCGAAUAACAAAGUUCACUGCUGU
RNAcentral lists this unclassified non-coding RNA (246 nucleotides) under Hevea brasiliensis (rubber tree). The record is from RNAcentral. Lineage: Eukaryota; Viridiplantae; Streptophyta; Magnoliopsida; Malpighiales; Euphorbiaceae.